Long non-coding RNA from Zootoca vivipara (common lizard), 911 nucleotides. RefSeq lists it as uncharacterized. The record is from RefSeq and is a predicted model, not a curated record. Lineage: Eukaryota; Metazoa; Chordata; Lepidosauria; Squamata; Lacertidae.
CCUAUUAGUGCCCCCUGAAUAGUCCCAAUGUCCCCCUCAAGGGGCAGUGCCACCCCCUUUGGGGACCACUGCUCUAAAUAAUCUGUUGCCUUAUUCCUCCCUUUUCAUUUCCACCAGAUCCUUCAGAGCCACUGCUCCCCUACUACCCAAAUGCCUUGUUCCAUUCGGCUCUCUAACCUUGAGACACCAUGAAAACCCAAAUGGAUGCUGAUUUUUGACUGGCUUGGCUAUGAAUUUAGCAACAAGCCAUACAUUUCAAUUGGAGUAGAUCAUAAAGUGAAAGAGUUCCUGCUUUGGAGUCCAACAAGUUGGGGUCAGCUGAGCAUGGCCAUCACAAAAAGCAGAAAGUGAGUGAACGCAAUGAACAAUGGCCAUUGAAAAUACGGCAACAGUGUGCAUUGUUCUGGGCAAGAGGGGACAAGAAAAACAUGCACCAAAAGGGCAGAAGCUAUGUAAGCCUCAUGAAUAUCCACAGGGCAUCUCUUUCAGGCAUUCCCUCUAUAAAACAACAGAGUCCUUGACUGGAAGCACCAUCGAGGCGCUUAUCCACUGUCCUUCUGUGUUCAUCCAGAGAACCCAACCAGAACUCCACCAUGAGAGCUUUCUACCUCGCCUUGACCUUUGUGUUGUUGGCUGCCACUGUCAUGAGUGUUCAAGAUUCCUGUCACAAGAGACCCCCCUGCAGCCGCUAUGGAGGCACCUGUAGGAAGGAUUGCUUGACCAGUGGCAACUACCGGUACGUCCCCACCUGCGACUGCAUUCAUGGCACCAUCUGCUGUUUGCCUCACAAGAAAGGCUGAGCAGGAGGCAGGCCGCCUCACGAGGAGGAGCUGGAGACCCUGUCUUCACCACUCAGCUGUGUAGAGGGGCCCAUCAUGGAUGCUUCUCCUCAAUAAAUUGACAUGAAUGUC